UGGGUUAAGUCCCGCAACGAGCGCAACCCUUAUUGUUAGUUGCCAGCAUUAAGUUGGGCACUCUAGCAAGACUGCCGGUGACAAACCGGAGGAAGGUGGGGAUGACGUCAAAUCAUCAUGCCCCUUAUGACCUGGGCUACACACGUGCUACAAUGGACGGUACAACGAGUCGCAAGACCGCGAGGUUUAGCAAAUCUCUUAAAGCCGUUCUCAGUUCGGAUUGUAGGCUGCAACUCGCCUACAUGAAGUCGGAAUCGCUAGUAAUCGCGGAUCAGCAUGCCGCGGUGAAUACGUUCCCGGGCCUUGUACACACCGCCCGUCACACCAUGAGAGUUUGUAACACCCAAAGCCGGUGGGGUAACCUUUUGGAGCCAGCCGUCUAAGGUGGGACAGAUGAUUGGGGUGAAGUCGUAACAAGGUAGCCGUAGGAGAACCUGCGGCUGGAUCACCUCCUUUCUAAGGA
Molecule: ribosomal RNA, 463 nt
Filed under: Ligilactobacillus animalis
Lineage: Bacteria; Bacillati; Bacillota; Bacilli; Lactobacillales; Lactobacillaceae
Description: bacterial SSU rRNA
Rfam family: Bacterial small subunit ribosomal RNA
Source: RNAcentral